UGGCUGAGUGGCUUAAGGCAUUGGUUUGCUAAAUCGGCAUACAAGAAGAUUGUAUCAUGGGUUCGAAUCCCGG
This 73-nucleotide transfer RNA is filed under the name Rosa rugosa (rugosa rose). RNAcentral describes it as "tRNA-Ser". The record is from RNAcentral. RNAcentral also lists the same sequence under 2 other names. Lineage: Eukaryota; Viridiplantae; Streptophyta; Magnoliopsida; Rosales; Rosaceae.